AGAUGCGCCCGCCGGAGCCUGGCCUCCUUCUCCAGCUCAUAUAAGGUAAAAAGAAAAAGGUUUUCCAGCUUCUGAGCCGCAUGGAAGGAGUUUUCGCCCAGCACUCCCAUGCCAGCUGCUUAAAAAACCCCAGCGGGCAGUGUGGGGCCGCAGUGCCAGUUAUAAUGGGACAGGAGGAGGUGGCAGUUGUGUGCCCGCGCCCCACGAUGAUGUGGGACAGGGUGGCAGGAGCGGCCGCUGCAGAGAGGGGAAAGGGCGCAGUGUUGUAACCGUGGGGAGGGCUCUGACGCAGCCCAGCGCUGCCGGCUCGCCCAGCCAGGGACGCGGCUCCGCGGAGCAGAGGCGGAGCCUUGACCAUGGGAGUACCCAGGGACGCAGACAUCACUGGAGAUGCUGGAGGUGCACAGAGACUGUACAUUCCCGGACAGCGAGAGAAGGGCAGAGCUGGCAUGCCAAUGUACUACCCACACCAGAUGCCCUUUGGGCACUGGCAGCAGCACACAAACCCAGCAGCCCCCUGAGCAGGGCUGGCUCUCAGGGCAGUGCUCAGCCUGAGGCUGCUCCCUGCUAAAAGCAGCCCGGCCCCUUCCCAGGGAGCUGCACAUAGGGAGUGCACAGGUCUGGGAGGCCGAGCUCUGACAUGGGGUAGCAGGCUGUCAGAAGGGGCCCUGCGAGCAGUGCUGCCCCAUGGCACUGAGCCCCGUGGCUGUUCCUACACUUGGCUGGUGCUCAGGGCUGGCCCGACCCGAGCUGGGAGCAGUGACGGCCUGCGCCAGCAAAGGCGGCUCCCAGACAUCCCUCCUGGGUGACUCACACUGUGAUCUGUGCAUGGAGUUUGGGGUGCCGUGAGGCUCUUCCCUUUCUUUCUUCCCAUUAAAUCGGGGCUGUGGAGCUGGGGGAUGGCGGCUGGGGGAGCGGGGGGCGAGCAGAGGCUGUGGGUGCCCGGUUCCCAGCUGGGUGCUCUCAGGGGGGCCGUGCCGGAUGCAGGGCGUUGUGCUGGAGCUGCACCAUCUGCUUCUCGUCAGGCUGCUGGGAGCACCGCCGCUCCGGGGCCGGCAGUGGGACAUGGCUGUGAUGGAUGGUGUGUUUAUCGUGCUCUAGCGUUACUCAGGAUGUUAGUGCUCGUCUGCAAGAGAUGUUUCUGUGCUUGGCUGCUCCCUCCAUCCUCCCCUCCUCCUGCUCCCCCCAGACCCUUUCCCUUGGGCCCACACAGGGGUUGCAGGGGGUGUCCGUCCCACAGCCUCCAGCCCUGCCUGCAGCUGAGCUCCUGGGACCAGCACUGAAGCCUUCCCACAGGUACUGCCCAGCAGCAGGCUUCUCUCUGGUGAGGACAGGGAUGGUGGCAGGGAUAGGGCUCUGCAGGGCUUUCACAUGCUCCUCGUCCUCCAGGGGACACAAAGGAACAGCGUGCAGGGAGAAUGCAUUGUGUGAGACCUGCAUCUCACAUCACCCCAGGGGUGUCCUGGCCCUGCUGAGUGACAGACCCAUACUCUACAGCCACCCCAGCAGCCACAUCCGUGUGGUUUGAGACCACAGGCAGUGACUCCCCACUGCUGGGCCAGGUUCCAGAUCCUGCAGCCCUACAGACACACUGGGAUGCAGUAGUGGCCAGUGUGUAGCCCUUCUCCAAGCACAGCAGUUUAUCUGUGUGAUGCCGCAGGCCGUCCCCACCGGCCCCCAGCCUCAUCUAUCCUGCAGCCAUGAUGCCCAGCAGAACAGCCACACGCGGCCAUGCGUGGCACAGCACACAUCGAGCGCGGCUGGGGGCUCCUCCAUGUCUCCCAGCCCAAGGUGCAGUGCUGCAUCUCUGGUCAAUUGGGAGUCUGAGAUGAAGCACUGUAGCUCGGGAAGGGAGGAACUGUGCCCUGGGACCCCGACACCCCUCAGACUGCCGCCUGCUGGGAGCAUUGAUGCCAAUGGAAUGUGGGAACUGCGCAGUGAGAUGGGAAGCACCGCUCAUGACUGGAUGUGGGGGUCUGCUCCACCCCCCUCUGCUGCCUCUGGGGCUGGGCCCCCAACCGUGGGAGCAGGGGCUCUCCCAGAUGUGUUUUGGACGCUGCCUCUGAUGGAGAAGCAUAGAGAACGGAGCCUGCAGACACACAACGUGUCCUCCAAAGAUCCCAUAGGGGCUGCUGACCCCCAGCCAUGGGGCAGGGCUCAGCCCUCUGCUUUGUAUCCCUGUGACUGAAGGGCAGAGGAGCGGAGGUUUGCUUUGAGGCAGAGGAACACCCCUGCGCCCGGUCAGGAUCCCCAGAGCUCCCAGCUCCGUGUAGGGGUGGGCAGGGACAGCGGGUCACACAGAGCGGCCAGAGGAGCAGCUGUGCAGGGCAGGGGCCGGUGGGAGCCGCGGUCGCCGUGCUCUCAGGGUCCAGUUUUCCCAGGAAUCCCUUAGGCGCUACGUUGGGGAUUCCUGGAAAUACUGUUCUUGGGGCCACGGCUCUGCACCUGGAGACAGCCCGGCCCCGAGCGGAGCCGCAGCCCCGCAGGAGCCAGGGACGAGGUACGGGGCCGCGGCUGCGAGCGGGAACCCCGGGCAGCCCCGAUGUGGGGCGGUGGAGGGACCGGCCCAGGAAAUGUCCCCUCCCGCAGGGCCGGGGCAGACGGCCGGCCCCUCGGUCACAGCCCCUGCGGGCGGACACCGCCGGUGCCCUCCGCGGGGCUGCAUGCGCGUCAUCGAGCCGUACCAAUAAAGGUCUCUACUGCAA
Lagopus muta (rock ptarmigan) is the source of this 2705-nucleotide long non-coding RNA. RefSeq lists it as uncharacterized. Lineage: Eukaryota; Metazoa; Chordata; Aves; Galliformes; Phasianidae. The transcript is spliced from 3 exons. The record is from RefSeq and is a predicted model, not a curated record.